This 433-nucleotide ribosomal RNA is filed under the name uncultured bacterium. Its description in RNAcentral is "partial 16S ribosomal RNA". It matches the Rfam family "Bacterial small subunit ribosomal RNA", at positions 29 to 507 of the family's 1533-position model. The record is from RNAcentral.
AGCGAACGCUGGCGGCAGGCCCAACACAUGCGAGUCGAACGGAUCCUUCGGGAUUAGUGGCGGACGGGUGAGUAACACGUGGGAACGUGCCCUUUGGUUCGGAACAACUCAGGGAAACUUGAGCUAAUACCGGAUGUGCCCUUCGGGGGAAAGAUUUAUCGCCAUUGGAGCGGCCCGCGUCUGAUUAGCUGGUUGGUGAGGUAACGGCCCACCAAGGCGACGAUCAGUAGCUGGUCUGAGAGGAUGAUCAGCCACACUGGGACUGAGACACGGCCCAGACUCCUACGGGAGGCAGCAGUGGGGAAUCUUGCGCAAUGGGCGAAAGCCUGACGCAGCCAUGCCGCGUGAAUGAUGAAGGUCUUAGGAUUGUAAAAUUCUUUCAGCGGGGACGAUAAUGACGGUACCCGCAGAAGAAGCUCCGGCUAACUUCGUG